AGAGUGAACGCUGGCGGUAGGCCUAACACAUGCAAGUCGAACGGCAGCACGGUAAGAGCUUGCUCUUAUGGGUGGCGAGUGGCGGACGGGUGAGGAAUACAUCGGAAUCUACCUUUUGGUGGGGGAUAACGUAGGGAAACUUACGCUAAUACCGCAUACGCCCUUCGGGGGAAAGCCGGGGACCAGCAAUGGCCUGGCGCUGAUAGAUGAGCCGAUGUCGGAUUAGCUAGUUGGUGAGGUAAUGGCUCACCAAGGCGACGAUCCGUAGCUGGUCUGAGAGGAUGAUCAGCCACACUGGAACUGAGACACGGUCCAGACCUCCUACGGGGAGCAGCGAGGUGGGGGAAUAGUUAGGACAAGU
RNAcentral lists this ribosomal RNA (361 nucleotides) under uncultured soil bacterium. RNAcentral's name for it is "bacterial SSU rRNA". It matches the Rfam family "Bacterial small subunit ribosomal RNA", at positions 26 to 375 of the family's 1533-position model. The record is from RNAcentral.